CAGCCGCCACGGUAAUACGUAGGUGGCAAGCGUUGUCCGGAAUUAUUGGGCGUAAAGGGCUCGCAGGCGGUUUCUUAAGUCUGAUGUGAAAGCCCCCGGCUCAACCGGGGAGGGUCAUUGGAAACUGGGAAACUUGAGUGCAGAAGAGGAGAGUGGAAUUCCACGUGUAGCGGUGAAAUGCGUAGAGAUGUGGAGGAACACCAGUGGCGUAGGCGACUCUCUGGUCUGUAACUGACGCUGAGGAGCGAAAGCGUGGGGAGCGAACAGGAUUAGAUACCCCGGUAGUCCCUGUCUCUUAUAC
This 301-nucleotide ribosomal RNA is filed under the name uncultured bacterium. RNAcentral's name for it is "partial 16S ribosomal RNA". It matches the Rfam family "Bacterial small subunit ribosomal RNA", at positions 509 to 807 of the family's 1533-position model. The record is from RNAcentral.